UACGGAGGGAGCAAGCGUUACUCGGAAUUAUUGGGCGUAAAGGGCGCGUAGGCGAUUUGAAAAGUCUUGUGUGAAAGCCCCGAGCUUAACUCGGGAAGUGCACAAGAAACUGUUGAAUUUGAGUUCCGGAGAGGAAGGCAGAAUUCCCGGUGUAGCGGUGAAAUGCGUAGAUAUCGGGAGGAUUACCAGUGGCGAAGGCGGCCUUCUGGACGGAUACUGACGCUGAGGCGCGAAAGCCAGGGGAGCAAACGGG
This 253-nucleotide ribosomal RNA is filed under the name uncultured bacterium. RNAcentral describes it as "partial 16S ribosomal RNA". It matches the Rfam family "Bacterial small subunit ribosomal RNA", at positions 524 to 776 of the family's 1533-position model. The record is from RNAcentral.